ACACAUGCAAGUCGAACGAAGCACUUUAUUUGAUUUCCUUCGGGACUGAUUAUUUUGUGACUGAGUGGCGGACGGGUGAGUAACGCGUGGGUAACCUGCCUUGUACAGGGGGAUAACAGUUGGAAACGGCUGCUAAUACCGCAUAAGCGCACAGCAUCGCAUGAUGCAGUGUGAAAAACUCCGGUGGUAUAAGAUGGACCCGCGUUGGAUUAGCUAGUUGGUGAGGUAACGGCCCACCAAGGCGACGAUCCAUAGCCGACCUGAGAGGGUGACCGGCCACAUUGGGACUGAGACACGGCCCAAACUCCUACGGGAGGCAGCAGUGGGGAAUAUUGCACAAUGGGCGAAAGCCUGAUGCAGCGACGCCGCGUGAGCGAAGAAGUAUUUCGGUAUGUAAAGCUCUAUCAGCAGGGAAGAUAAUGACGGUACCUGACUAAGAAGCACCGGCUAAAUACGUGCCAGCAGCCGCGGUAAUACGUAUGGUGCAAGCGUUAUCCGGAUUUACUGGGUGUAAAGGGAGCGCAGGCGGUGCGGCAAGUCUGAUGUGAAAGCCCGGGGCUCAACCCCGGUACUGCAUUGGAAACUGUCGUACUAGAGUGUCGGAGGGGUAAGCGGAAUUCCUAGUGUAGCGGUGAAAUGCGUAGAUAUUAGGAGGAACACCAGUGGCGAAGGCGGCUUACUGGACGAUAACUGACGCUGAGGCUCGAAAGCGUGGGGAGCAAACAGGAUUAGAUACCCUGGUAGUCCACGCCGUA
RNAcentral lists this ribosomal RNA (755 nucleotides) under uncultured bacterium. RNAcentral's name for it is "bacterial SSU rRNA". It matches the Rfam family "Bacterial small subunit ribosomal RNA", at positions 51 to 804 of the family's 1533-position model. The record is from RNAcentral.